RNAcentral lists this ribosomal RNA (581 nucleotides) under uncultured Lachnospiraceae bacterium. RNAcentral's name for it is "bacterial SSU rRNA". It matches the Rfam family "Bacterial small subunit ribosomal RNA", at positions 75 to 663 of the family's 1533-position model. The record is from RNAcentral. Lineage: Bacteria; Bacillati; Bacillota; Clostridia; Lachnospirales; Lachnospiraceae.
UUCUUCGGAGGAUUUCCUAUUUGACUGAGCGGCGGACGGGUGAGUAACGCGUGGGUAACCUGCCUCAUACAGGGGGAUAACAGUUAGAAAUGACUGCUAAUACCGGCAUAAGACCACAGCACCGCAUGGUGCAUGGGUAAAAACUCCGGUGGUAUGAGAUGGAUCCGCGUCUGAUUAGUUAGUUGGUGGGGUAACGGCCUACCAAGGCGACGAUCAGUAGCCGACCUGAGCAGGGUGACCGGCCACAUUGGGACUGAGACACGGCCCAAACUCCUACGGGAGGCAGCAGUGGGGAAUAUUGCACAAUGGGGGAAACCCUGAUGCAGCGACGCCGCGUGAGCGAAGAAGUAUUUCGGUAUGUAAAGCUCUAUCAGCAGGGAAGAAAAUGACGGUACCUGACUAAGAAGCCCCGGCUAACUACGUGCCAGCAGCCGCGGUAAUACAUAGCGGGGCAAGCGUUAUCCGGAUUUACUGGGUGUAAAGGGAGCGUAGACGGAGCAGCAAGUCUGAUGUGAAAACCCGGGGCUCAACCCCGGGACUGCAUUGGACACUGUUGAUCUGGAGUGCCGGAGAGGUAAGCG